UGCCAUUCCUCAGAACGAAGACUCUUCCUCCCACGUUGCAAAAAUUUAUCACCCCAAGCAUCCAGCAAAACAAAAGUUUCAUGCUCAGUCCAAUCAGUAAGUGGAUUACGCCCAGCAAAUGAGGGUUUUGGAGCUGAUGAGGUUGUAACAGGAGGUGCCGGGACACGAGGAGCAAAUUCAUAGCUUGAAACUAAGCUUUUUAGCUUUCGUUUUUUAGGAUGCUUUUCCAAGUCAACAUCAUCAAUCCUCCUGCUAUAAUUCUUUUGAUUGCCCUCCUCAUCCUCUUCUUCUUCUUCUUCUUC
RNAcentral lists this unclassified non-coding RNA (302 nucleotides) under Hevea brasiliensis (rubber tree). Lineage: Eukaryota; Viridiplantae; Streptophyta; Magnoliopsida; Malpighiales; Euphorbiaceae. The record is from RNAcentral.